AAAUGCGUAGAGAUGCGGAGGAACACCGAUGGCGAAGGCAGCCCCCUGGGCUAACACUGACGCUCAGGCACGAAAGCGUGGGGAGCAAACAGGAUUAGAUACCCUGGUAGUCCACGCCCUAAACGAUGUCCACUAGGUGUUGGGGAAGCAAUUUUCCUGUACCGAAGCUAACGCGUGAAGUGGUCCGCCUGGGGAGUACGGUCGCAAGAUUAAAACUCAAAGGAAUUGACGGGGACCCGCACAAGCGGUGGAUGAUGUGGAUUAAUUCGAUGCAACGCGAACAACCUUACCUACCCUUGACAUGUCCGGAAGCCUGCUGAGAGGCGGGUGUGCCCGAAAGGGAACUGGAACACAGGUGCCUGCAU
Molecule: ribosomal RNA, 365 nt
Filed under: uncultured beta proteobacterium
Lineage: Bacteria; Pseudomonadati; Pseudomonadota; Betaproteobacteria
Description: bacterial SSU rRNA
Rfam family: Bacterial small subunit ribosomal RNA
Source: RNAcentral